UUCGGGACGCUGGCGAGUGGCGAACGGGUGCGUAACGCGUGGAAACCUGCCCCGAGGUGUGGGACAACAGUUGGAAACGAUUGCUAAUACCGCAUAAGCCUUACGAGGGAAAGGCGCAAGUCGCCUUGGGAGGGGUCCGCGUCGGAUUAGCUAGUUGGUGGGGUAAAGGCCUACCAAGGCGAUGAUCCGUAGCUGGUCUGAGAGGAUGAUCAGCCACACUGGGACUGAGACACGGCCCAGACUCCUACGGGAGGCAGCAGUGGGGAAUAUUGCGCAAUGGGAGAAAUCCUGACGCAGCGAUACCGCGUGGGUGAAGAAGGUCUUCGGAUUGUAAAGCCCUUUCAGCAGGAAAGAUGAUGACGGUACCUGCAGAAGAAGCCCCGGCUAACUCCGUGCCAGCAGCCGCGGUAAUACGGAGGGGGCGAGCGUUGUUCGGAAUGACUGGGCGUAAAGGGCGCGUAGGCUGCUCUGCAAG
RNAcentral lists this ribosomal RNA (475 nucleotides) under uncultured Magnetococcus sp. RNAcentral's name for it is "bacterial SSU rRNA". It matches the Rfam family "Bacterial small subunit ribosomal RNA", at positions 79 to 587 of the family's 1533-position model. The record is from RNAcentral. Lineage: Bacteria; Pseudomonadati; Pseudomonadota; Magnetococcia; Magnetococcales; Magnetococcaceae.